This 467-nucleotide ribosomal RNA is filed under the name uncultured bacterium. Its description in RNAcentral is "partial 16S ribosomal RNA". It matches the Rfam family "Bacterial small subunit ribosomal RNA", at positions 28 to 523 of the family's 1533-position model. The record is from RNAcentral.
GACGAACGCUGGCGGCGUGCUUAACACAUGCAAGUCGAACGGUAAGGCCCUUCGGGGUACACGAGUGGCGAACGGGUGAGUAACACGUGGGUGAUCUGCCCUGCACUUCGGGAUAAGCCUGGGAAACUGGGUCUAAUACCGGAUAGGACCCAUGCCUGCAUGGGUGGUGGGGGUAAGCUUUUGCGGUGUGGGGUGGGCCCGCGGUCUGUCAGCUUGUUGGUGGGGUGAUGGCCUACCAAGGCGACGACGGGUAGCCGGCCUGAGAGGGUGACCGGCCACACUGGGACUGAGAUACGGCCCAGACUCCUACGGGAGGCAGCAGUGGGGAAUAUUGCACAAUGGGCGCAAGCCUGAUGCAGCGACGCCGCGUGAGGGAUGACGGCCUUCGGGUUGUAAACUCCUUUUGAUAGUCCAUUCACGGACUAUAGAAUAAGCCCUUACUAACUACGUGCCAGCAGCCGCCGUAA